UCGUGAUGAUGCUCGUGAUCGUGGUCACAAUGAUCAUGAUCGUGAUGAUGAUGCUCGUGAUUGUGGUCAUGAUGUUCAUGGUCAUGAUGAGCC
RNAcentral lists this microRNA precursor (93 nucleotides) under Acetitomaculum ruminis DSM 5522. RNAcentral describes it as "microRNA mir-598". Lineage: Bacteria; Bacillati; Bacillota; Clostridia; Lachnospirales; Lachnospiraceae. The record is from RNAcentral.